UAUCUUCAGGGCAGGGUGGAAUUCCCUACCGGCGGUAUAGCCCGCGAGCAUUUUUGCAGAUUCGGUGUAACUCCGAAGCCGACAGUAAAGUCUGGAUGAAAGAAGGUA
RNAcentral lists this non-coding RNA (108 nucleotides) under uncultured Clostridium sp. RNAcentral describes it as "FMN riboswitch (RFN element)". It matches the Rfam family "FMN riboswitch aptamer (RFN element)". From Rfam's summary of the family: The RFN element is a highly conserved domain that is found frequently in the 5'-untranslated regions of prokaryotic mRNAs that encode for flavin mononucleotide (FMN) biosynthesis and transport proteins. This element is a metabolite-dependent riboswitch that directly binds FMN in the absence of proteins. In Bacillus subtilis, the riboswitch most likely controls gene expression by causing premature transcription termination within the 5' untranslated region of the ribDEAHT operon and precluding access to the ribosome-binding site of ypaA mRNA. The record is from RNAcentral. Lineage: Bacteria; Bacillati; Bacillota; Clostridia; Eubacteriales; Clostridiaceae.